AUUACGUAUGUGGCUCUUCACAUAUUUCUAAUGAACAACAUUGGAGACUCUUAAGGGGAAUGAAAUGGACGUUCUUACUCAUCAUACCAUAAGCAUCCAGGUGAAUGAUUGCUCACUUCUUUCAUCUAAUGAGGAAUUGGCUUUCUUGAGAAUCUCAAUGCAGUGUACCUCCAACCUUAACAGACUGCUGUAAAACACCCUGACCAUUCUUUAGUAUAAGCACUGAAGAAGACAGUAUGUUGACCACGAGGCACCUGGCCUGGCUCAUAGUAUGCCAUCAAGAAAUGCUAAUUUUCUAUUUCCUCUUUUUCAAAGAGUUAUUUCAAGAAAGAAAGGAGAGGAGAGGAUGUUACAAAUUCCAUGUAAAUAAAAUU
This 374-nucleotide long non-coding RNA is filed under the name Homo sapiens (human). RNAcentral describes it as "non-protein coding lnc-BTG3-2:2". The record is from RNAcentral. Lineage: Eukaryota; Metazoa; Chordata; Mammalia; Primates; Hominidae.